Long non-coding RNA from Eriocheir sinensis (Chinese mitten crab), 765 nucleotides. RefSeq lists it as uncharacterized. The transcript is spliced from 4 exons. The record is from RefSeq and is a predicted model, not a curated record. Lineage: Eukaryota; Metazoa; Arthropoda; Malacostraca; Decapoda; Varunidae.
UUCAGUGGUUUUGUAUUACUUAACUUUCCUCACUGUAAUACAUUUUUAGUCUCAGUAAAUUUCUUGUAGGCUCGUCGUGGCGGGUGGCGGGCAGAAGACAAGAGGAGGAGCAGCUCGCCGGGAGUAUUAUUGUAUUUCUGUUCAUGACGGAGGCAGGAGGAGGCCCCUAUUGCGCGGCCCAUGAUUCCGGGGCAUGGUUUGAGAAGUAUUACAGAAGCAGAACCCUGCUGGCCUCCAGUCUGUCCCAUGAAGGGCCACAAAUCUUAACAGCCUGCCUAAGGAAGUCCGAAACCUAACAGGUUGCCCAGUAAACAGGUUUAAGAAUGGGCUGGACAAGCUGCUACCAACGGUCUCAGACGAACCUCCAGUGCCGGGCUACACCUCAAGAUGUAGGACUUCCAACACGAUACUGGACCAAGUCACCCUGUUGAGCAGGGAUGUCAGGACUGGGAGCAGCGGUGGACCACCAUGACUCUGAGGCGGAGCCUCUAAACAACACCAAGUAAACCAACGUGGGUAAGUCCAUCUGCAGCCCGCUCACCCUGUACCUCCCAAGUGCUAUGCCACAGUAAUCCCAGAUGACUCGUGCAUUAUGCAGAUUGUGAUAGUUUUGUGCAUCGUUUCACCUACUUAACACACUACUUCUAAAAGAUUACCUGGAACCAGUGUGGAGCCAAUGGCCAGCCAGGUGAACACACGUCGCCCGCUGCAAACACAUUCUCCAUGGUUGUCUUCAUCUUUUCGUCCACCAACAGCCCGCCAUCC